CCUACGGGGGGCAGCAGUGGGGAAUUUUGCGCAAUGGGCGAAAGCCUGACGCAGCAACGCCGCGUGCGGGAUGAAGGCCUUCGGGUCGUAAACCGCUUUCAGCAGGGACGAAACUGACGGUACCUGCAGAAGAAGCCCCGGCUAACUACGUGCCAGCAGCCGCGGUAAUACGUAGGGGGCAAGCGUUAUCCGGAUUCAUUGGGCGUAAAGAGCGCGUAGGCGGCUUGGUAAGUCAGAUGUGAAAACCGGGGGCUCAACCCGCGGCCUGCAUCUGAAACUGCCAGGCUUGAGUCUGGUAGAGGAAAGUGGAAUUCCCAGUGUAGCGGUGAAAUGCGCAGAUAUUGGGAGGAACACCAGUGGCGAAGGCGGCUUUCUGGGCCACGACUGACGCUGAGGCGCGAAAGCUAGGGGAGCAAACAGGAUUAGAUACCCUUGUAGUC
Molecule: ribosomal RNA, 440 nt
Filed under: uncultured Actinomycetes bacterium
Lineage: Bacteria; Bacillati; Actinomycetota; Actinomycetes
Description: bacterial SSU rRNA
Rfam family: Bacterial small subunit ribosomal RNA
Source: RNAcentral